UCAAGCGAUUCUCCUGCCUCACCCUCCUGAGUAGCUGGGACUACAGGCCUGCGCCACCACACCUGGCUAACUUCUGAAUAUCAAGCUGAAAUUACUAUCAGAUAUCUUGCCACCACAUAGAGGCUUUGAGUGAAGUCUGCAUGGAGGAGAACAGAGCUGAGAGAUGGAAAGAUACUGAAUCCCAGUGACGUCCUUUGAGAUGUCGGAUCAAGCUGAGCUGGGCAUGAAGAUAGAGCUACUCCUAUACUUUUAAGAUACUCUACCACUCACAGAAACUACCUUUUAGUGCAACCACGGUGGAACCCUGCCAUAGUAUCUCUAGCAAUAACAAGCAAGAUUCAGAAGUCCAACAAGUAAGACAUUGAUUUCAUUAAGAGAGAACUAGUAAGCAAGCUAUUUGGGAAGUACACUCUCAUAAGAAUAUUGUUUCAUGAAGUCUUGAGCAACAAAGGAAAUAGUCCAUGAAGUGCACUGCUGUCAGACUCCCUCUAAGAAUACUUCAACUGCUCAUGAAGCGGGGGGCCUUAACUAUUUACUUCUUUUGGAAGCCUCCAUCUGGCCCAUCUAUCUUUAUUCUCCCAGGAUCACAGGAUGAAGUACAGCUUGGCUGACCCAGUUCUUGGGAUGGGAGGAUUAAUGAACUCUCUAAACCAAACUUUUGGAGGAAAAGAACUUCAGAGGAGUUGGACAUCAAAACUUCACGAUUCCCACUCUUGCAUCAUUUACCACCUAACUGCUGGAAGUAUCAGCCUACUCAUCGUUAUUGGCAUCACCUGGAAGC
Molecule: long non-coding RNA, 781 nt
Filed under: Homo sapiens (human)
Lineage: Eukaryota; Metazoa; Chordata; Mammalia; Primates; Hominidae
Description: HSALNT0316434
Source: RNAcentral